AUCCAGCCAAUUAAGCUGACCAUGCUCUUUUCCCUGUGGGGUCCGUUACGCAAUGGCUACAAGCAGCAGUCUGUUGGCAGUGUAUGAAGACUGUUGACUCAUACAUGUUGCCCUAAGAGGCAUAGAGACAACA
Molecule: small nucleolar RNA, 133 nt
Organism: Pteropus vampyrus (large flying fox)
Lineage: Eukaryota; Metazoa; Chordata; Mammalia; Chiroptera; Pteropodidae
Gene: SNORA70
Rfam family: Small nucleolar RNA SNORA70
About the family: snoRNA U70 seems to be exclusive to mammals and is a member of the H/ACA class of snoRNA which contain H (ANANNA) and ACA box motifs. H/ACA box snoRNAs are involved in the conversion of uridines to pseudouridines (5-ribosyluracil) a constituent of structural RNAs (transfer, ribosomal, small nuclear, and small nucleolar).
Source: Ensembl